CCUGCCUGCUAGUAAGCUUAAGCACUCAAGCCAAAUUCAAAAUCUUGUAUUUAUAAACAGAGAUCUGAUAACAGUUGCCUAAGCAUCCACGAUGCUUUGCCAGCGCACGCACAUCGAGAUGAUCCGAAGGGCCUGUCCUGGGGUUAGCUCACACAGAGGACAGCUCAGGCUCCCUGUUCCAAGUAAUGCCUCACAAGGACCCUCACAAUCUCCUUUGUGUUGGUUUAGUUUGAAGGAGAAGGACAAGGACGGGUAGAUCUGCACUUCUGAGGGAUGCAACCUGUCCUCUGGCAUCCACAGAGGCAGAGGAUCAAGAGGCCACAGAGGAGGGCUGUAGAUAUUGCUAAUAACUGACUUCAGGUCACAAAGCACAUUGUAGAGUGGAUGGUGAUGGGAUUUCAGCUGCUGACGACAAGCAAGAAACAAAGGUUAAAAAAAUACCUAUAACCUUAUGAUUUCCUGAGAAAAUAAGGUGCACAUGAUGACAGCUUACAAAAAAAAUCUGCUGUCCUAAUAAAAACCUACUGCAAUCCA
Onychostruthus taczanowskii (white-rumped snowfinch) is the source of this 534-nucleotide long non-coding RNA. RefSeq lists it as uncharacterized. The transcript has 3 exons. The record is from RefSeq and is a predicted model, not a curated record. Lineage: Eukaryota; Metazoa; Chordata; Aves; Passeriformes; Passeridae.